UAGAGGAAAAGAAAGUAAAAACGAUUCCCGUAGUAGUGGCGAACGAACUGGGAGGUAUUGUCUAAACCAUUUUUAGUAGGAAUGGGGUUAUAGGGUAAAAUAUUAAAAAAAGAACAAUGGUAGGUGAAAUCGUUGGAAAGCGAUACCCAAGAAAGUGAUAGUCUUGUAACCGAAAUCAAUUUCUUUGACUUGUUUAUUCCUGAGUAGUAUGGAACACGAGAAAUUCCGUAUGAAGUUACGAAGACCACUUCGUAAGACUAAAUAUUCCUAGAUAUCCGAUAGCGAAAUAGUACCGUGAGGGAAUGGUGAAAAAGAACCCCGGGAGGGGAUUGAAAAAGAACGUGAAAUUGCAAGCUUACAAACAGAAGAAACUGCUUUUUUAGCAGUAUUUCUUCGUGCCUGUUGAAGAAUGUUCCGGCGAGUUAUAGUUAGUGGCGGGUUAAAAUAGAGAUAUUGGAGCCAUAGUGAAAGCGAGCUUGAAUAGAGCGAAAGUCACUAAUUAUAGACCCGAACCCGCUUGAUCUAACCAUGUCCAGGGUGAAACUUAGGUGACACUAAGGGGAGGCCCGAACCGACUAAUGUUGAAAAAUUAGCGGAUGAGGUGUGGUUAGGGGUGAAAUGCCAAUCGAAAGCGGAGCUAGCUGGUUCUCCCCGAAAUGUAUUGAGGUGCAGCGGUUAAUCUUUUAGCAUAGGGGUAAAGCACUGUUUUAAACGGGGCCACAACAACUGGUACCUUAUUGAGGCAAACUCUGAAUACUAUGUGUACAAUUAACCAGUAAGACUAUGAGGGAUAAGCUUCAUUGUCAAGAGGGAAACAGCCCAGAUCACCAGUUAAGGCCCCUAAAUGAUUACUAAGUGAAAAAGGAAGUGAAAAGGCUAAAACAACCAGGAGGUUCGCUUAGAAGCAGCAAUCCUUUAAAAAGUGCGUAAUAGCUUACUGGUCUAGCAGUUUUGCGCCGAAAAUUUUUGGGACUAAGUAAUUUGCCGAAGCUGUGAGAUAUAAGCAAUUAUAUCGGUAGGGGAGCGUUCCACAGUAGAAUGAAGUAAACACGAAAGUGUUUAUGGACGAACUGGAAGUGAGAAUGUCGGAUUGAGUAGCGAAAACAAUGGUGAGAAUCCAUUGCUCCGAAACCCUAAGGUUUCCUCUGGAAGGCUCGUCCGCAGAGGGUUAGUCAGGUUCUAAGAUGAGGCUGAAAAGCGUAGUUGAUGGAUAAUGGGUUAAUAUUCCCAUACUAAUACCUAUCGUUUUUUCUUUUCUGUUGUUAGAAAAAAUCGAAAGAAAAAUGACGAAGAAGGCUAAGUUAGCCAAUGAAUGGUUUUUGGUUUAAGCUAUUAAGAUUGAUAUUCAAGAUUCACUAGUUCCUUAUGGUUCAAGGAAGCUUAAAAAUUGUCAGUUGAAAUACCAAUACAAGAUUUUAAAAAUCAAAGUAACUAAUGUCAUACUUCCAAGAAAAGUUUUUCUUUUGAAAAGAUAGCGAAUUAUCUGUACCAGAAACCGACACAGGUGGGGAAGUAGAGAAUACUAAGGAGCGCGAGAGAACCCUCCUUAAGGAACUCGGCAAAAUAGCUCUGUAACUUCGGAAGAAAGAGCGCCCAUUGGGCUGAAAUAUCAAGUUCCAAGCAACUGUUUAACAAAAACACAGGUCUCCGCUAAGUUGUAAAACGACGUAUGGGGGCUGACGCCUGCCCAGUGCCGGAAGGUUAAAAAAGUGAGUCAAGAGUUUUCUGAAGCUUAUGAUUGAAGCCCCGGUGAACGGCGGCCGUAACUAUAACGGUCCUAAGGUAGCGAAAUUCCUUGUCGGGUAAG
RNAcentral lists this ribosomal RNA (1807 nucleotides) under hot springs metagenome. RNAcentral describes it as "bacterial LSU rRNA". It matches the Rfam family "Bacterial large subunit ribosomal RNA", at positions 211 to 1980 of the family's 2925-position model. The record is from RNAcentral.